RNAcentral lists this ribosomal RNA (494 nucleotides) under uncultured bacterium. Its description in RNAcentral is "partial 16S ribosomal RNA". It matches the Rfam family "Bacterial small subunit ribosomal RNA", at positions 28 to 507 of the family's 1533-position model. The record is from RNAcentral.
GACGAACGCUGGCGGCGUGCUUAACACAUGCAAGUCGAACGGAAAGGCCUGCUUUCCCUUGUGGAUUGCGGGUACUCGAGUGGCGAACGGGUGAGUAACACGUGAGUGAUCUGCCCCCAACUUGGGUAUAAGCCUGGGAAACUGGGUCUAAUUCCCGAUAGGACUGCAGGGUGGUGCCUGUGGUGGAAAACGAUUUUCUAGUGGUUGGGGAUGAGCUCGCGGCCUAUCAGCUUGUUGGGGGGGUAAUGGCCUACCAAGGCGGCGACGGGUAGCCGGCCUGAGAGGGUGGACGGCCACAUUGGGACUGAGAUACGGCCCAGACUCCUACGGGAGGCAGCAGUGGGGAAUAUUGCACAAUGGGCGGAAGCCUGAUGCGGCGACGCCGCGUGGGGGAUGACGGCCUUCGGGUUGUAAACUCCUUUCGACCGCGAGGAAGCCACCUGGUUGGAAGGGUGGUGACGGUAGUGGUAGAAGAAGCACCGGCUAACUACGUG